GAUGAACGCUGGCGGCGUGCCUAAUACAUGCAAGUCGAGCGAACAGACGAGGAGCUUGCUCCUCUGACGUUAGCGGCGGACGGGUGAGUAACACGUGGAUAACCUACCUAUAAGACUGGGAUAACUUCGGGAAACCGGUGCUAAUACCGGAUAAUAUAUUUAACCGCAUGGUUCAAUAGUGAAAGACGGUUUUGCUGUCACUUAUAGAUGGAUCCGCGCCGCAUUAGCUAGUUGGUAAGGUAACGGCUUACCAAGGCAACGAUGCGUAGCCGACCUGAGAGGGUGAUCGGCCACACUGGAACUGAGACACGGUCCAGACUCCUACGGGAGGCAGCAGUAGGGAAUCUUCCGCAAUGGGCGAAAGCCUGACGGAGCAACGCCGCGUGAGUGAUGAAGGUCUUCGGAUCGUAAAACUCUGUUAUUAGGGAAGAACAAAUGUGUAAGUAACUAUGCACGUCUUGACGGUACCUAAUCAGAAAGCCACGGCUAACUACGUG
RNAcentral lists this ribosomal RNA (497 nucleotides) under uncultured bacterium. RNAcentral's name for it is "partial 16S ribosomal RNA". It matches the Rfam family "Bacterial small subunit ribosomal RNA", at positions 28 to 507 of the family's 1533-position model. The record is from RNAcentral.